This 289-nucleotide ribosomal RNA is filed under the name uncultured sulfate-reducing bacterium. Its description in RNAcentral is "partial 16S ribosomal RNA". The record is from RNAcentral.
UCACUGCCACACCCCGGCUACCGACGCCUCGGGCGUGGUCAAGGCCGUCAUGGACGACCUGUUCGACUACUUCGGCUCCAUGAACCUGCCGGCCUCAGGUGCGUAUCGCCCCUGGGCCUGCUGCCUCGAACAUGUGUGGGCGCCCGUGCAUUGCUUCCGACAUCGCCAUCCUUGGGUGUCCAUCGCAAACCGCCGAUGAUCGAUCACGACCGUAUCACCGGGGUCUGCGAAAUGCCCCUGGCCAUCGCUUCCUGUCCCCUGGGUGCGAUUAAGCCCGCUAAGGGGACCA